RNAcentral lists this ribosomal RNA (222 nucleotides) under uncultured bacterium. RNAcentral's name for it is "partial 16S ribosomal RNA". It matches the Rfam family "Bacterial small subunit ribosomal RNA", at positions 328 to 539 of the family's 1533-position model. The record is from RNAcentral.
ACGCUCGACCCUACUGGAGGCAGCAGUAGGGAAUCUUCCACAAUGGGCGCAAGCCUGAUGGAGCAACACCGCGUGAGUGAAGAAGGGUUUCGGCUCGUAAAGCUCUGUUGUUGGAGAAGAACGUGCGUGAGAGUAACUGUUCACGCAGUGACGGUAUCCAACCAGAAAGUCACGGCUAACUACGUGCCAACAGCCGCGGUAAUCUGAGCGGGCUGGCAAGGC